Molecule: ribosomal RNA, 1068 nt
Filed under: uncultured dinoflagellate
Lineage: Eukaryota; Dinophyceae
Description: SSU rRNA
Rfam family: Eukaryotic small subunit ribosomal RNA
Source: RNAcentral
CGGUAAUUCCAGCUCCAAUAGCGUAUAUUAAAAUUGUUGCGGUUAAAACGCUCGUAGUUGGAUUUUUCGGGAGAUAUUCUAGUCCACCCAAGUGGUGCGCACUGGGACAGUCCUUCGAAUUUACCUAGAGAAUGCGCGUGCGCUUUGUUGUGUGGCGAUGGAACUAGGACCUUUACUUUGAGGAAAUGAGAUCGCUCCAAGAAAGUAGGUGCUGCGAAUAUGUUAGCAUGGGAUAGUACUACAGGACCCUGGUCGAAGUUGAAGAAUCAUCGAACAAGGUAAUGCAAAUAAGGGUGGUUGGGAGUAUUCAUAUUUAGCUGCCAGAGGUGAAGUUCUUGGAUUUUCUAAAGAUGAACUGGUGCGAAAGCAUCUGCUCAGGAUGUUUUUAUUAAUCAAGAACGAAAGUUAGGGGAUCAAAGACGAUCAGAUACCGUCGUAGUCUUAACCUUAAACUAUGCCUACCAGAGCUUGGGAGCAUCAGGAUUUUGGCGCUCUCAGUACCUUGAGAGAAAUCAAAGUUUUUGGGUUCCGGGGGGAGUAUUGUCGCAAGGCUGAAACUUAAAGGAAUUGACGGAAGGGCACCACCAGGAGUGGAGCUUGCGGCUUAAUUUGACUCAACACGGGGAAACUUACCAGGUCCAGACAUGGAGAGGAUUGACAGACUGAUAGCUCUUUCUUGAUUCUAUGGGUAGUGGUGCAUGGCCGUUCUUAGUUGGUGGAGUGAUUUGUCUGGUUAAUUCCGUUAACGAACGAGACCUUAACCUACUAAAUAGGGAGCGAAAUGUAUGAAUUUCGGACUCGCUUCUUAGGGGGACUUCGUGUGCCUAAUGCGAGGAAGUGUGAGGCAAUAACAGGUCUGUGAUGCCCUUAGAUGAUCUGGGCUGCACGCGUGCUACAAUGAUGUCUUCAGCGAGAUUUUGAACCUCUUUGAAAAGAGUGGGAGAUCAUCUAAAAUGCAUCGUGGUGGGAAUUGAUUAUUGCAAUUAUUAAUCCUGAACGAGGAAUUCCUAGUAAGUGCAGAUCACCAGUUUGUGCUGAUUACGUCCCUGCCCCUUGUACACGCCGCCC